Molecule: long non-coding RNA, 1645 nt
Organism: Synchiropus splendidus (mandarinfish)
Lineage: Eukaryota; Metazoa; Chordata; Actinopteri; Syngnathiformes; Callionymidae
Exons: 3
Source: RefSeq, a predicted model, not a curated record
CGGACGCAGGUCAAAUCGGCGAGAGCUUGCAACAGCUCGCGAGACCAGUCGGGGAGGAGGGGCGGCAAAUCUCAGUUUGUUGUAGUCACGUUGUAGUUUGUACGAAGAACGCGAUGGAGAAAAUCGUUUGUGCCGAUUUAUCGUCGUACGCUCACGGAGGCGGUUGACUCACCGUAACUUCCCCUGGUCAGUUGCAAAACUCAUUUCUUUUGUGGAGGACGUUGUCUCCUUACACAGUCCGUCAGACUUCAAGAGCCAUGUCAGACCAACAAGAGGACAGGUGGAGGUUGGUGACAGAAAUUUUCUUUAUUACUUUCGUGCCAGUCAUUUCCUCUUUGGUUUCUUAGGACCUAUUGGAACUACCGGUCCCUGAGAAACGGUUGGCCACUAGGUCAGCCAGUCUGUUGGCUUGCUUGUGGAUCCUACCCAAGCAGGAGUCCUACAGAGGUGUGGCAGAUCGGUUUGACAUGUCCGGAGGGGAUGCCCCGUGUGCAUCAGUGCAAGGCUUUGAGAAGGCAGGAUUUGCCAGGUGUCACACUCCCAUGUUGAAGCCAAAGUGUGAGAACCUGUUGCCUAUUGUAACAGGAAGCGGUUUUACUCAGUCAUACUGACUGCUUUCCAAACAAGUCAUCCAUUUGCUAGGGAAUAGAUCUAUACUUUAGUAAAUGUUACACAGUACUCUUUUAUUGCGAACCAUGCAAACCGAUGACAUCACUACACAUACUUGUGUAAAACGGACAUUUGCCCUGCUAAAUGUCCAAUGUGGAUAAUUCUUUCCUCUCCUGUCGUUUGGGCCCUAUCCUCAGGUUUCCCAGCUUUUUUGGAUUUUUUUCAUUUCUGAUGGUGUAGCCUUCUGUUGCUGUCCAUUUCUUUAUAGAACGCCACACCGUUUUUGUGGUAGAGACCAAGGUGGGCUACGUGUGAGGACCAGCAGCAGAAGGCUGGCUUCAUGUGUGGACUCUGUAACAUUAAUAUUGUUCAGAAUUACAGUGUGUCAUCCCCUAUAACUCUGAUUCAAACAGUAACUCUAACCUUUCUGUUUUGAUGAAGUGGAAGUGGAGGGGACCUGAGUGAGGUCAAGAGGACCUUCAUGAACUGAGGUCUCUUCAGGUGACUGAGGAGUCAGCUCCGUAUCACUGGGACCUGGGACCGGCACUAUGGAGAAUGUGUCAUCCAAAGCACGCUAUAUGCUGAUAUUGUCCACAAUUGAAGCAGUCUCCCUGCUGACCUGCAUUUGGACACUGCACCAUCGGAAUCGCUUAAGAAAAUUGUGACCUUCUCCAUCAUGUGAUACUCUGCAAUUAUCCAAUCAAAGAAUGGCUUCAGCCAGCAGCGCUACUUGAGAUGUCACACUUCUAUAUAUGUUUAUAUGUUUUAUAUGUAUUUAUAUGUUUCUAAGCAAAUGGUGGUGGUCAAAGUAAAUGCCCGAAUCUUGCAUGCUUCUCCUUGGCCUUGACUGUAACCAUGAAUUAUGUAUUGUAACAAUGAUAACAAUACAUUGGAUUAUAAAGACAGUGGAUGGUAUUUUGUGAUGUUUUCUGUCUACAUUUUGAAGUGCUCCAGUGUGAUUUUGCACUUUGUAUCUGCAUGUAUGUGCAUUUGUGGAUGUAGGACGAGUAGCUCACACACAUACCACUUAGAUACA